This 499-nucleotide ribosomal RNA is filed under the name uncultured bacterium. RNAcentral describes it as "partial 16S ribosomal RNA". It matches the Rfam family "Bacterial small subunit ribosomal RNA", at positions 28 to 507 of the family's 1533-position model. The record is from RNAcentral.
GACGAACGCUGGCGGCGUGCCUAAUACAUGCAAGUCGAGCGAAGUUUUUCUGGUGCUUGCCCUAGAAAAACUUAGCGGCGAACGGGUGAGUAACACGUAAAGAACCUGCCUCAUAGACUGGGACAACUAUUGGAAACGAUAGCUAAUACCGGAUAACAGUAUUUCUCGCAUGAGAGAUAUUUAAAAGUUGGUUAUGCUAACACUAUGAGAUGGCUUUGCGGUGCAUUAGCUAGUUGGUGGGGUAAAGGCCCACCAAGGCGACGAUGCAUAGCCGACCUGAGAGGGUGAUCGGCCACACUGGGACUGAGACACGGCCCAGACUCCUACGGGAGGCAGCAGUAGGGAAUCUUCCGCAAUGGGCGAAAGCCUGACGGAGCAACGCCGUGUGAGUGAAGAAGGAUUUCGGUUCGUAAAGCUCUGUUGUUAGGGAAGAAUGGAUAUGUAGUAACUAUACAUGUAAGAGACGGUACCUAACCAGAAAGCCACGGCUAACUACGUG